Molecule: long non-coding RNA, 246 nt
Filed under: Lathyrus oleraceus (garden pea)
Lineage: Eukaryota; Viridiplantae; Streptophyta; Magnoliopsida; Fabales; Fabaceae
Description: Pisum sativum (pea) long non-coding RNA (PSAT_LNC005887)
Source: RNAcentral
AUCCAACGUUCAAAAUAUUUGAAAUUUUCCUAGAGUAAUCGGUUACCUUAAAAGGAUAAUCGAUUACUUGUUUCCAACGUGCAAAAAAUAUUUGAAUUUUACACAGAGUGAUCGGUUAUCAUAAAAUGGAUAAUCGGUUACUUUGUCACAAAUUUGAAAAAUAGUUAAAAGAGUGAAGUGUUAUGAUUUGUUUGAUACAUAAAACUACUUUCAAUGAUUAUGGCAUGAAUGAAACAUGUUUUGAAC